UACGGAGGAGGCAAGCGUUAUCCGGAAUUAUUGGGCGUAAAGCGUCCGUAGGUGGCUCUUCAAGUCUGCUGUCAAAGAGCGGGGCUUAACCCUGCAAAGGCAGUGGAAACUGAAAGGCUAGAGAGCCGUAGGGGUAGAGGGAAUUCCCGGUGUAGCGGUGAAAUGCGUAGAGAUCGGGAAGAACAUCGGUGGCGAAAGCGCUCUACUGGACGGUAUCUGACACUGAGACACGAAAGCCAGGGGAGCAAACGGG
RNAcentral lists this ribosomal RNA (253 nucleotides) under uncultured bacterium. RNAcentral describes it as "partial 16S ribosomal RNA". It matches the Rfam family "Bacterial small subunit ribosomal RNA", at positions 524 to 776 of the family's 1533-position model. The record is from RNAcentral.